Molecule: ribosomal RNA, 497 nt
Filed under: uncultured bacterium
Lineage: Bacteria
Description: partial 16S ribosomal RNA
Rfam family: Bacterial small subunit ribosomal RNA
Source: RNAcentral
GAUGAACGCUGGCGGCGUGCCUAAUACAUGCAAGUCGAGCGAACGGACGAGAAGCUUGCUUCUCUGAUGUUAGCGGCGGACGGGUGAGUAACACGUGGAUAACCUACCUAUAAGACUGGGAUAACUUCGGGAAACCGGAGCUAAUACCGGAUAAUAUUUUGAACCGCAUGGUUCAAAAGUGAAAGACGGUCUUGCUGUCACUUAUAGAUGGAUCCGCGCUGCAUUAGCUAGUUGGUAAGGUAACGGCUUACCAAGGCAACGAUGCAUAGCCGACCUGAGAGGGUGAUCGGCCACACUGGAAUUGAGACACGGUCCAGACUCCUACGGGAGGCAGCAGUAGGGAAUCUUCCGCAAUGGGCGAAAGCCUGACGGAGCAACGCCGCGUGAGUGAUGAAGGUCUUCGGAUCAUAAAACUCUGUUAUUAGGGAAGAACAUAUGUGUAAGUAACUGUGCACAUCUUGACGGUACCUAAUCAGAAAGCCACGGCUAACUACGUG